This 460-nucleotide ribosomal RNA is filed under the name uncultured bacterium. Its description in RNAcentral is "partial 16S ribosomal RNA". It matches the Rfam family "Bacterial small subunit ribosomal RNA", at positions 338 to 795 of the family's 1533-position model. The record is from RNAcentral.
CCUACGGGAGGCAGCAGUGAGGAAUAUUGGUCAAUGGACGAGAGUCUGAACCAGCCAAGUAGCGUGAAGGAUGACUGCCCUAUGGGUUGUAAACUUCUUUUAUAAAGGAAUAAAGCGAGGCACGUGUGCCUUUUUGCAUGUACUUCAUGAAUAAGGAUCGGCUAAUUCCGUGCCAGCAGCCGCGGUAAUACGGAGGAUCCGAGCGUUAUCCGGAUUUAUUGGGUUUAAAGGGAGCGUAGGUGGGUUGUUAAGUCAGUUGUGAAAGUUUGCGGCUCAACCAUAAAAUUGCAAUUGAAACUGGAAGUCUUGAGUGCAGUUGAGGCAGGCGGAAUUCGUGGUGUAGCGGUGAAAUGCUUAGAUAUCACGAAGAACCCCGAUUGCGAAGGCAGCUUGCUAAACUGUGACUGACGUUGAUGCUCGAAAGUGUGGGUAUCAAACAGGAUUAGAUACCCUGGUAGUC